UGAACACCAGAUCCUGAGGUGGCUCCAGAAGGUGCAGAGUGCAUGAGACACACUAAGAAAGCUGAAGCCUGAAAGCAGCCUGGCCACCCUGUGCCCAAGAGGUGUCUUCAGGAAGACCACGCCCAGAAAGUCCCCCGUGGAAAUCACCGCAUGAAGAGAAUCACUCUCUUUUCUGAAAGAUCUUGAGUAGAUCCAGUGUCAAAUAACAGCAAUGAGAAGUCGUAGGAUUAAAAUAUGCUGGAGCUGGAGAAGCCUGGAUCACAAGCAUUUAUUAACAGUGAUGGGAAGGAAAGGUGAGUGGGGGAGUAGACCUCACCAUAUCCCUGCCCACUACCCUUCAGCCAAAGGGGCAGUUUUCAUGGGUGGG
Long non-coding RNA from Talpa occidentalis (Iberian mole), 367 nucleotides. RefSeq lists it as uncharacterized. The transcript has 3 exons. The record is from RefSeq and is a predicted model, not a curated record. NCBI's taxonomy places the organism in Eukaryota, Metazoa, Chordata, Mammalia, Eulipotyphla, Talpidae.